This 474-nucleotide ribosomal RNA is filed under the name uncultured bacterium. RNAcentral describes it as "bacterial SSU rRNA". It matches the Rfam family "Bacterial small subunit ribosomal RNA", at positions 66 to 571 of the family's 1533-position model. The record is from RNAcentral.
ACGGGAAAACAGGGGCAACUCUGUGAGUACAGUGGCGUACGGGUGAGUAACACGUGACUACCUACCCUCGAGUGGGGGAUAACCCCGGGAAACCGGGGCUAAUACCGCAUAACAUCGCAAGAUCAAAGGAGCAAUUCGCUUGAGGAGGGGGUCGCGGCUGAUUAGCUAGUUGGUGGGGUAACGGCCCACCAAGGCAAUGAUCGGUAGCCGGCCUGAGAGGGCGCACGGCCACACUGGAACUGAAACACGGUCCAGACUCCUACGGGAGGCAGCAGUGGGGAAUUUUGCGCAAUGGGGGAAACCCUGACGCAGCAACGCCGCGUGGAGGAUGAAGUCCCUUGGGACGUAAACUCCUUUCGACCCGGACGAUAAUGACGGUACGGGUGGAAGAAGCACCGGCUAACUUCGUGCCAGCAGCCGCGGUAAUACGAGGGGUGCGAGCGUNGUUCGGAAUUAUUGGGCGUAAAGGGCGCG